CCUUGUUGUAUCAAUGAGAGAGUGAUAGACGCUCUACCAGGGACAAGACAGGUUGCAUUUACAGCAUCAGUGGUCAGAGGAAUGAGUUCUGACUGCCUCGUGACAUCAAACCAGAAGAUCAGACAUCAAAAAGCAAAUGAUACCAUUUUUUAGAGAACUCCAACCAAACCUACUCACAAAACAAGUUCAUACCAUUUUGAUAUUUUAUUUACAGACUGGCUCUUCGAGCUGCUGCGCCCAUGGGUGUGAAGGUUCUCCAGUGUUUUCCCUGGUACAGGAGGUGUAAAGACAGAGGCAAGGGCAGACACUGCCCUCCUAAAGCAGUUCCAUACAUUGAAGCGGAGCCCCAGUUUGCCCCGACAACCUAUGCCAGCGCUGGAGGAGGAGUUGUCUACUUUUCCCACAAGGCAAGAGUGGCCUACAGACAUCAGAUGGAAGGCAACGUUAUAGAUACCACCUACUGACCCCUAGCCUCAUCCUGCAGCCCCCUGCUGCCGAAACACCCCUCAAAGACUGUCUGCUCAGAAUCCUCUGUCUCACAACAGACUAUAUCCCAGUUCUUCAAUGAUCUUGUUUGUAGUUGAGGAGCUCAGUUCAUCUCAAUGUUAGAGAUAGUUGCUUGAAUGAAGAUGGAGGCUGAGUAGCACUUUUGAGAACAGAAGAAAACACUUUUGUAGAUAAGGGUAAAGAAAAUGUGUUUACGCUAUUACCUUGAAGUGCAUUCUUCUUGUUUUAUCAUUUGUCACUUUAUUUAUUGUGCUAGGGUCAAUGUUGAGUAUUUAUUGUUUUAGGGUGAAUGUUUUGCAUCUAAAUGACGUUUUGUAGUUGUCCACUUGCUGUAAAAUCCCAUCUAGCAACUGGUGUUGUAGACUAGUCAUAACUAAUGCACGGCUAUGCUAUAAUUCUACAACUGGUGUUGUAGACUAGUCAUAACUAAUGCACGGCUAUGCUAUAAUUCUACAACUGGUGUUGUAGACUAGUCAUAACUAAUGCACGGCUAUGCUAUAAUUCUACAACUGGUGUUGUAGACUAGUCAUAACUAAUGCACGGCUAUGCUAUAAUUCUACAACUGGUGUUGUAGACUAGUCAUAACUAAUGCACGGCUAUGCUAUAAUUCUACAACUGGUGUUGUAGACUAGUCAUAACUAAUGCACGGCUAUGCUAUAAUUCUACAACUGGUGUUGUAGACUAGUCAUAACUAAUGCACGGCUAUGCUAUAAUUCUGUCAAUUAUUUCUGUCACUUUAUAUUCUAUUUGUGUUGUUUCUUUUGAAAUAAUGGAACAAUACUAAUGUUACAUUACUAAUAAUGUAACAAGUCUAUUUUAAAAUAGUGUUGGAUUGUCUUGCAGUUUGAUUAUGGAACAUUGCUACAGUGUCCGUCUAGUUCGGUCCAUGUUCACUGUUAUCCUAUCACAGCCUUUCAAUAGUUUUGAGUAAGAAUGGGAUAUACUCAACAAGCAGGCCUUUAUGAGUAAGGUAUAAUCAACUAAAAUAAUGAACAACAUGGAAGGUGUGUUCCAAGAUGCGCUAGCAAAGUGGCGUCUAACAAAUGACACAUUAUUUUCCAGAGAACACAGAGCCCUGAGUUGAUUAUCCCUUUUAUACCAUGGCUCAAAUUUAAAAAAAACAUAAUUUGUACAUUUUUAUUUAACUAUGCAAGACAGCUAAGAACACAUUCUUAUUUAGAAUGACAGCCUACCGGGGAACAGUGGGUUGGUUAACUGCCCUGUUCAGGGGCAGAAUGACAGCUUUUUACCUUGUCAGCUCAGGAUUCAAUCCAGCAACCUUACGGUUACAGGCCCAACGCUCUAACCACUAGGCUACCUGCACUAGGCUACCUGCACUAGGCUACCUGCACUAGGCUACCUGCACUAGGCUACCUGCAGCCCUGGCAUUUGCCACUAGAAAUGUGUUCACUUGCAGGAAGAAAUGUGUUCAACAUUCACUGAAGUAGCUGGCAAGUUUACUAGAUAGCUGCAGGAGAUGCCUUGGUAACCAAACAGACUUGCUGGUUUAGCUAACCAUCAGCUUGCUAUUAUGAAAAUCAAAUUCAACAAUGCCAAUAGUGUUUUCAAUUCGACUUUCUUUCAAAAGCAGCUCAAACAUAGAACAUGAAAGAAUUAACUAUAGCCAUUGAAUUCUACUAUGCUGAUAUACUGUGCGUUAUAGGGAAUUAUACAACGGGUGGGUCUGAUCCUGGACGCUAAUUGGUUAAAACAGCAUUCCAGCAGGUGUCUAUUCCCCAAAUUACCACAAGCUAAAGCUAUGAUAUUGAAAUGCCUAUUUACUCUGUUCCAUCUCACUGCCCAAUCCACUGUCUCAUCAGCCCAGCCAGACAAUUUAUAAACUUCAUCCCCACUAUAAAAAGCAUCUAGACAUUAUCUCCUAUUUCUUUUAGACUAGCAAUCGGUUUUCAAUAACAGAGAUUUGUAUAAAACUUGCAGUCUGACUCUCUGACAUUUGCAACAUUGUUUCAUAUUGAAAUUCGAUCUCUUGCUGUCCCAUAGUAAUGAACAUGUAGGGAUCGGGAGUCGGGACGAGAAAGACAGGCAACUUUUCUCAGCCAGUCGAAAUCAUGAAUCAGCUUCAUUUUUAUGGACAAAUACAAAGACAUUUCAAUAGAGAACAGAUAAAACUAAAUGCAGCUAGCUUGCAGUCUUUCCAGCUUCAGUUUGAAGUGAUUGUGUUAGCUGUGCUGUUGGCUAGCUCCUCUGAACAACAGUGCCCUGACGAGAGAGCACAUUUUUUAUGCCAGGUGAAAUCACGCAUCAUUAGCUCAUUCUUAUGCAUGUAUUCAAAUAAAUGUUACUGGAAAACAGCUUAUGCAAAUGCAGCUACUUUGUUGUUAUUCUGGCUGCAUUGUUUGGCGUGACUGUAAGUUAGCUGUAGUUGGUUAGCUAGCAAACAAGGGAUAAUAACAUAUAGCAAUAGAACAUUUAGAAGAAUGACUGGGUGGUGUCCAACUGUCCAUAGAUACAGAACAAAAAGUCUAAACGACUAUGUCACGUCUAUGGCAACCGAACCGAUAGAACAAAUGACCAGCCGGCUUGGGUAGCAACCCUAGAUAUGUGUCAGGACUAUGUCUCGUGGAAGGAUGAAAUAGUAUGAAUAAAUUAAUCAAAAUAAAGUUAAUGAAAAUAUGUCAAUCA
Oncorhynchus kisutch (coho salmon) is the source of this 3150-nucleotide long non-coding RNA. RefSeq lists it as uncharacterized. Lineage: Eukaryota; Metazoa; Chordata; Actinopteri; Salmoniformes; Salmonidae. The record is from RefSeq and is a predicted model, not a curated record. The transcript is spliced from 3 exons.